This 261-nucleotide ribosomal RNA is filed under the name uncultured prokaryote. RNAcentral's name for it is "partial 16S ribosomal RNA". It matches the Rfam family "Bacterial small subunit ribosomal RNA", at positions 524 to 784 of the family's 1533-position model. The record is from RNAcentral.
UACGUAGGUGGCGAGCGUUAUCCGGAUUUACUGGGUGUAAAGGGAGCGCAGACGGAACUGCAAGUCUGAUGUGAAAGCCCGGGGCUCAACCGCGGGACUGCAUCGGAUACUGUGGAUCUGGAGUGCCGGAGGGGCAAGCGGAAUUCCUGGUGUAGCGGUGAAAUGCGUAGAUAUCAGGAGGAACACCGGCGGCGAAGGCGGCUUGCUGGACGGCAACUGACGUUGAGGCUCGAAAGCGUGGGGAGCAAACAGGAUUAGAUA